GACGAACGCUGGCGGUGUGCUUAACACAUGCAAGUCGAACGGUAAGGCCCUUUCGGGGGUCCACGAGUGGCGCACGGGUGAGUAACACGUGAGUAACCUGCCCUCAUCUCUGGGAUAACAGUCGGAAACGGUUGCUAAUACUGGAUAUGAGCCUGCAAGGCAUCUUGUGGGUUGGAAAGAUUUUUUGGUUGGGGAUGGACUCGCGGCCUAUCAGCUUGUUGGUGAGGUAGUGGCUCACCAAGGCUUCGACGGGUAGCCGGCCUGAGAGGGCGACCGGCCACAUUGGGACUGAGAUACGGCCCAAACUCCUACGGGAGGCAGCGGUGGGGAAUAUUGCACAAUGGACGGAAGUCUGAUGCAGCAACGCCGCGUGCGGGAUGACGGCCUUCGGGUUGUAAACCGCUUUCAAUUGUGACGAAGCUUUUUGUGACGGUAGCAGUAGAAGAAGCACCGGCUAACUACGUG
RNAcentral lists this ribosomal RNA (465 nucleotides) under uncultured bacterium. RNAcentral's name for it is "partial 16S ribosomal RNA". It matches the Rfam family "Bacterial small subunit ribosomal RNA", at positions 28 to 507 of the family's 1533-position model. The record is from RNAcentral.